Molecule: non-coding RNA, 2278 nt
Organism: Punica granatum (pomegranate)
Lineage: Eukaryota; Viridiplantae; Streptophyta; Magnoliopsida; Myrtales; Lythraceae
Source: RefSeq, a predicted model, not a curated record
ACUUGCCAUACCAAAUCUACCUUUCUCCCUCUGUUAUCUUCUCCACCGCCUCUUUAUUGUUUAUUGUUUUUUUUUUUAAUUUAUUGAGUUUAGCUUGUUGGGGCUUUGGGGGCUCUGGUGGGUUCGAAGAAAAGAGGCAGGGCGAGAGAGGAAAGAGAUGAGGCAGAUGGGAAAGGGUAAGGUGAGAGGCUGAAGAAUCGAAACAGAAGGAAGAAUCAGAGAGGUUGAAGAUGAAAAGCUCGAUUGAGAAAGAGAGAGAGAUUCGGAGACCGAGCUAAAGCCUCCCGAGUUCAUCGCGACUUAUGUUUCUGCGGCCUUCCGUCCUAUCACCAUCGCUUGAAGGAGAUAUUAAAGGAGAAACAAUACCUCUUCUUGGUCCCAUUCUCUAUGUGUAUUCCUAUCUCUAGACGAGGACAGGUAACAGCAUGGGUUACCGUUAAACCCGAGCCACCGUAAGUGCAAUUCCUAGCUCUUAGUUAUAACAUCAAUAUCUAGAUUGAAGCAUAAGAAUGGUGAAACCGUUAUAGGAGUGGCUUUAUAUUUGUUUAAGAGCCUUACUGAUCUAUUAUGCUUUGAAAUUACAAACAAGAUAUCGAUGAUCAUAAGGUAGCCUAUGUGGGAGCUCUGCUUUUGACGGUCAAUUACCUCGAGGCACAACUUUGGACUAAUCUGAAUCGUGUUAUUAUUACUUGCUAAGAGCAUCAUCGAGUUUUAAACUCAAAAUGAUCUCCAAGUAAGAUUGGUGUUUUAUCCGAUUCACACGAGGUUCAAAUUCUGAUUCUUGGUUUAAGUGGAGCUCUUGCAGAUGAUAUGAAGUUUUUUUGUUGGAUUUGGUUGAGGUGAGUGAAAUAGGGACAAGCUGAAGAAGUUACAGUAGUUGCUUAUCAUAAGUCUAGGCUUAUCGGGUAUUAUCUGAAUGUUCUAUUGGUCUGCUGCAAUAUGAGAAUUGUUCAUGGAGAAGAUGAUUUUUGAUUUAAUGCAUUGAGGUCACUUAAAUUUGAGGAAUUAUCGCUCGGAACAGAAACAAUGUUUCUAUUGUCAUUCACUUAUUAAUUAGAUUUCCGGCAUAUUCCUACCAAAUUAGUGAUUAUUGAAUGGUAAUGACUUGGCUAACGCUAGUGAUAUUGGCGUGGGGUUGCUUCAAAAGUAUUUAGUGUAUAUGAACUAUUCUUUCUUGACUAAGUGUUAUCUUUUACUCUCUGGAUUAGAUUAUGGGCCAACCACAAGAUCCUCUACAUGAUUGACUUUUUGUUACAAUUAAGUUAAUCUUUCGUUGUACCCCUUCUCUAUAAAUUAAUUAAUUGGCUUCAAAAGAGUUGUUAGUUAAUAAUAUGCUCUUAUAAUUCAAAUGUAAUAUAUUUAUCAUUAUGGCAUUAACAUUAACCACUCUUUGAGAUUAUUCCAAGAGAAUAGGUGCCACCCAUUGGUUCAGGUUUAUAUUCUAAUAUGGCCAAAGCUGAUAGAGUUAUAACGGAUAUGGAUCGAGGAGACCAUAAACUUGAAUCUUGAAGGUUUGACUUGAUGAAUUAUUUUUAGUAGUCCUGUGAGUACUAUAUUCUCUUGUGAAAUGAUGCAUUAUAGUUAUAUAAAUUAUUUAAGAAGAAUAUUGUGAUAAUUAGAUUAAUGAAGCGGUCUUGUUAUGUUGUAUGAAAGGAUUUGAGAGAUAUUAGCCUUUUAUGUUUUAUUUUGAUUGGAGAUAUGCAGUGUGAUUAUGUAUGAGAUAUAUGAUAAUAAUGUGAUAUCAUUGUAAUGGGAUUGUGAUUGUGCUCGUGUAUACUGAUAUUGUUUGACUAUGGCAUGGGACUGCUGGACCCGAUGGAAUAGAAAAAUGGGCUCUAAUAGUUGCUGGACCUGGCGGAAUAUAAAUAGGGGUCUGAUCAGCCGCUGGACCCGGCGGAAGAGAAAAAUGGGCUCAAACGGUCGUUAGAUCCAGCGGAAUAUAAAUUGAGGUCAACUCUUAUCGUCAAAGUUAAUAGGCGGCCUCCACUUAUGAGAUAUGAAUAUUGAUAGUUGAGGAUGAUAUGAGUGAGAUGUGCGGGGUCACGGUACCGUCCUAAUUUAUCGCAAGAUAAGUUAGAGGUUAUACGGGAGAAUCAUUUUGAUGUGGGGGUUCAGCAUGGAAGAUAGUUAGCAAGAACUUUAUGUUUUACAAGUAUUAGAGCUAUCUAUGUAGUACUUGUAAUAAGUUACGACCUAAAAGAUUUUGUUUAACUACUCAUGGGAUGUUGUAAGAAAUAUGCUAUAUUUAUUUUUUUAGAGAUCUAUGAUUUUCUAGUGU